Molecule: long non-coding RNA, 1514 nt
Organism: Manis pentadactyla (Chinese pangolin)
Lineage: Eukaryota; Metazoa; Chordata; Mammalia; Pholidota; Manidae
Exons: 3
Source: RefSeq, a predicted model, not a curated record
GUUCCCGGAAGAACGAAGCGCCCAGAGGGACCAAGCCAACUUCGGCUUGGAGCGAGGGUAGGGGCGGGUGGUGAAACGGGGGCUGCCUAAGUUGGGGUCCUGCUCCGCAAUCACACUGCCCCUUCCCUCCUUUCUUCCCACUUGCCGCCCCCUCUCCAGAUAACUCUUAGCUUUGGGAUCUGCAGGAGGAGAGAAGAAGGGAAGAGACAUCUUUAGAAAGAGACUUGAGGACUGGGAGAGGGUGAGCUGGUGGUGUAGGGCACGGGCUGGUGCGGGAGGGGAGGAGGCUUUGUCUCAAAGUCCGCUGGCUGGCCUGGCCCUUGAUGCUUCUGCGUGGAAUCCCCCUUCAUUCGGGGGGCCUCAGUGUAGGCUGGGGGCGUAGAGUCCGGAUUCAACUUCAGCAGCCAGGCAGUGGGAGGGUGAGGCAGCUUGGAAAAUGAAAGAGGUGAAAGAAUCCCAGGGUCCUUUUAGGUUCUCACAAAUCCCCUCCUUGGUAUCUGGUCCCCACAGUGGGUGGAGUAGGGGUACGAGGGAGGGAGAGGGGGCAGAUGUCCCGCAGCCCUUUAUGUCGUUAGUAGUUUCUCCUCCAGAGCCCUUCCUGCCUUCUGUCCGAGCCUCACCCCAGUAGGGCUUUUCUGUGGCCACCAGGAGCAACCCUAGGUACAGUGGGAGCUCUGGAGCCUGUGGGGAGUGGGGUAUCCUGCCCCGUCUAGAACUCUAGCUCCUGUCCCUCUUUACACCCACGGGGCCUUCCUGUGCCCAUGUUUGGAUACUGAGCAUCCGUGGAAGAGGAGAUCCCGUCCUCUAGAGGAAUUCUGCCGGGGCCUUAAAGGAUAUGUGGGAAGUUGUACAAGAUGUCCAACGCUGUGAGUCAGCUGGCAAUCAAGGGACAAGGCAAGAAUUACCUGAGAUCCUGUCUGUCUUUCCACUGAGUUGAGAGCCCCUAGAACUUGGCCACACAGAAAUAGAAGAUGAGGAAACUGAAGUGCAAAGAAGUUUAAGUCACCUGCCUAAUGUACACAGCUGUCAAGAUGGCAGAGGCAGACUGAACUGAGCAAUCUAGUUCUAGAGCGUGUGCACCAAACUGUCAUGCUAUCUACUGCUUCUCUGAAGUAAUCAAGACCAUUUUCCUCCUUAUGUUAGAUAGGGUGAGUCUAGGUGCUUUGUGAAUCUGGAUGGACCUUCCUAGUUGUUUCUGAUUCUCUGACCACUGCUAAAUAAUCUUGAAAAAAAUCAGGGUUAACGUUUAUUGAUUUGUUAUGCAAGAAAUACAGGCCACGCACCAUGCUAAGCACACUGUUGGAAUUUGUCACUGAAACCCUCUAAUGACCCUGUGAUAUGACUACUGUUAUUUUCCCCCUGUUACAGAGGGGGAACUACAUAGUUUUCCAUCGCUGUGUAACUAAUUGCCACAAACUUCAUGACUUAAAACAAUACACAUUUGUUAUCUCAUAGUUUCUAUAGGCUACAGGUCCAGGCAUAGCUUAGUGGGUCCUCUGCUCAAGUUCUUAUAA